Long non-coding RNA from Mauremys mutica (yellowpond turtle), 428 nucleotides. RefSeq lists it as uncharacterized. The record is from RefSeq and is a predicted model, not a curated record. The transcript is spliced from 3 exons. Lineage: Eukaryota; Metazoa; Chordata; Testudines; Geoemydidae.
AAACUACGCUUUCUAAGAAGGAAAAAAAUAUUACAUCCAUCCCUGAAAGCAGAAGUUUUAGGUGCUUUAAAAACAUCUUUAAGAAAUGCAUAGAACACCAACGCACUGAAAUAAGGUUUAGAAAGAACGUGGCUGUGGACUUCAGGACAUGAGUGAGUGCGUUUGUCAAACGCGAUGCAGCGGCAACAACAGGAAAUCGCAUGAUCACGUUGGACUCCUGGCUGGCAGAAGAAACACGGCCAGUUCUUCUCGCACUGCACAGAAAAUCUCCAGGCGAUGCAGUGGCUCCACACCAACCCCUCUCUAACCUCCUUUGUAUGGGGCAUCACAAGGAAAAGUCUUUCUUAUGCCCUAGAAAUCUCCGAUUCCAUUGGCUUUUCCAGCUGCUCUGAAUUACUCUAGGGACUGGACCUGAUGCACUCAAACCU